GAGUUAGCCGGGACUUCUUCUUCAGGUACCGUCAUUAAUUCUUCCCUGAUGAAAGAGCUUUACAAUCCGAAGACCGUCAUCACUCAUGCGGCAUGGCUGGGUCAGGCUUGCGCCCAUUGCCCAAUAUUCCCCA
RNAcentral lists this ribosomal RNA (133 nucleotides) under uncultured bacterium. Its description in RNAcentral is "partial 16S ribosomal RNA". The record is from RNAcentral.